This 253-nucleotide ribosomal RNA is filed under the name uncultured bacterium. RNAcentral's name for it is "partial 16S ribosomal RNA". It matches the Rfam family "Bacterial small subunit ribosomal RNA", at positions 524 to 776 of the family's 1533-position model. The record is from RNAcentral.
GACAGAGGUGCCGAGCGUUAGGCGGAAUCACUGGGCUUAAAGCGUGUGUAGGCGGAUCGUUAAGUGCCUUGUGAAAUCCCACGGCUCAACCGUGGAACUGCUUGGCAUACUGGCGAUCUUGAGCCACUUAGGGGCUACCGGAACAAAUGGUGGAGCGGUGAAAUGCGUAGAUAUCAUUUGGAACGCCAAUGGUGAAAACAGGUAGCUGGGAGUGUGCCGACGCUGAGACACGAAAGCCAGGGGAGCGAACGGG